Molecule: long non-coding RNA, 99 nt
Organism: Sinocyclocheilus grahami
Lineage: Eukaryota; Metazoa; Chordata; Actinopteri; Cypriniformes; Cyprinidae
Exons: 3
Source: RefSeq, a predicted model, not a curated record
AAAGUGUUCUUGUGCCUGAACAAUUAAAACUUUCAUAACUAUACAUUGUCCAUUAUAACUGACACAUUUAUACAUAGCAUCUGAAAAUUUUACAUUUGU